UUUUAGGCCCUUUUUGUUAAAUUAAUUUAAUAAGAAGAUAGAGGAUAAAUCUCAUUCGGAAAAAAGGGUCUGAUCUAUCCCUGUACUAUGGCAAAUUGUUUAAAAUUGUCCCCCGUUAUAUUAUUGGGCCAUAAAAGUCCCUCCCGUCCAACUAUCCUAACAAAUAUGUCCUUAGUUAGACGGAGGUGCCACGUGGCAUCCAUCCGUGCCUGUUUUAAAUCUGGGCACAUAAGAGACGACCCGCUCCAUGAAACCCACCAACCCAAAUAACGCGACCCGCCAUUUACAAACCAAAUAAUACCCAUUUCGUCCAUUUCAUUUUUCCCGUUUCAUUUUCUUCUCUCACUAACUAUCUAGAACAUGAAAAUUCUCUCACAACUUUGUUGAUAACCGAUUUGAAGUGAAGAAAUUCCAUAAAGGAAAAUUGGUGAAGACUUGGACAGGUUAUGACUCCGACUUACUUUCAGACAUAGACAUAGUCAAUGAAUUCACAAAUAUGCUAGGAUUUUUAGGGGUUCAACAACUUAUAGUUGAUGCCCCAUCUGGUAAAUUUUAUGUGAUUGAGGGGGAUGAUGGUGUUAGACAUUUACAAAGGUUAUUAUGCAAUGAAUUCAAUGUAGUGAACCUAUAUGGUAUAGAUGAAUGUGAGCCCCAUAUUUACUCUAUUCCCAAUAUUGUACAAUAUGAAGAAGAAUCUAAUAAAAUAGUGGAUGAUGUUGGUAUUGAUUGUAGCUUAAGUGAUGUAUGAUCUGACUCUAGUACUAAUUCUGAAGGAUACAAUUCUGAAGAAUUAGAAGCACUUAAAGCACAAAAGAAAAGGAAAAUAAAUGAAAAACUUAGUGACUGCAAAGAGUUAUGCAAAGGUAUGUCCUGAAGCUAGGAAGUGUCUGAAGUUAUAUUCUCUGGCUAACAAGAAAAGAUUAAAAUUGGAGAAGAGUGACCUAGAAAGGCUUAGGUAUAGUUGUGAUAUUGUUGGUUGUCCCUGUGUGUGCUUAAUAUCAAAAGAAAAGUUGGUGGGGUUAAAAUCAAGACUUUAUCUACUGAACAUGAUUGUGGCACUGCAUUUGAUAACAAGACUGUUGAUUUUAGUACCAUUGCACAAUAUUUCAAGCAGAAGUUAAAGGAUAAUCCUAAGUAGAAGGUUAGGGAGAUGAUGUUAGAUUUGAAGAGAAACUUUGAGCUAAAUGUUAGUCAUGUGAAGUGCAAGAGGGCAAAGAGGAUGGUAUUGGAGUUACUAGAUGGUAGUUUUUCAGAUGAGUACAAUAAACUAGAAGCUUAUGCCAAUGAAUUGAGGGGAAGUAACCCUAGUAGUGAUGUGGUUGUUACACUUUCAAAGAGUACACUUGAAGAAGGAAGAAGAAGGUUCUUGAGAAUGCAUAUGUGUUUUCAUGCUUUGAAGAUGGGUUUCAAUCUAGGAUUGAGACCUUUUAUUGGUUUGGAUGGUACAUUUUUGAAGGGCAAAGCCAAAGGCCAACUGUUAGUGGCAGUUGGACAGGAUUCAUAGAAUCAUUUUUAUCCUUUGGCAUGGGCAGUUGUUGAAAAGGAGAACAAAAAUACUUGGAAUUGGUUCCUACAACUGCUGCAAUCUUCUUUGGACCUCAAGGAAGGGGAAAGAAUCACCUUCAUGUCAGAUAUGCAAAAGGUGAAGUUUUCUGAAAUUUCGGAUCUGUUAUUCAAUCUUCUAAUUACUUUUUACUUAAUAAUCAAUUCUGAACAUCUUUGUUUGUUCUGCAAGGACUGCUUGAUGCAGUCAAAACAGUCCUUCCCCAAGCACAUCACAGGUAUUAUGUUAGACAUAUUAAGCCUAACUGGUACAAACAGUACAAUACUGCGGAAAACAAGAAUGCAUGGACAACACUGGAUUGUGGAUGCAAGGGAUAAGCCUAUAAUCAAGAUGCCAGAUGACAUCAUAAUCAAGACCAUGAACUUGUUAAGAGAACAUGUAGAAGAAGUUAGGAGCUGGAGACAUGAUUUCAGUCUAAAAUGUAAGGACUUGUACAAUGAGUACCUGCAGAUUGCACAAACUGUGUGUGAAGUAAAUACAAAUGGUCAAAAUGGCUAUGAAGUAACAGAAGGAUCUGAUAAGCAUUGUGUUAAUUUGGUUGUGAAGAAGUGCACUUGUAGGUCAUGGGACCUUAUAGGAAUCCCAUGUCCACAUGCUAUUAGAGCUAUACUUCAUGACUCUGGUGAUCCAAUCACUGAAAUCAACUGGUGGUAUAGCAAGGAGGCAUUUUUGCUGACUUAUAGGCACAAAAUACAACAUGUCAAGGGAGAAAAGGUUUGGAAGAUUGAACCAUCUCAAGCAAUGGAGCCUCCAGAGCUUGUGAAAUUGGUUGGUAGACCUAAGGUUAAGAGAGAUAGGCAGAAGGAUGAGGCAGUUAAAAAAUAAGGAGUGUGGUCACAGUCCAGAAAAGGAAGAAUCAUGACUUGUAGCAAAUGUGGAGAAACAACUCAUAAUGCAAGGACUUGUGAUCAGGGAAAGAAGCAAAGUAAGAGAGGAAAAGUUGAGCAGGCUGCUGCCACAACUGAACAGGCUACCACCAGUUCAGCACCUGCUACCACAACUGAGCAGGCUUCCACAACUUAGCAGGCUACCACCAGUUCAACACCCGCUGCAAAAAGAAUCAAAAGGAAAGCAAUAGAGGAAGAGCCAAGUUGUUUGAUAGAACAUGAAACUGAACCUCAAGUUGAAAAUGAUAUCAACUGUUCAACACCUCAAGCCACUCAACCAAGUCAGGACAGUGGGCUUAGGUUCAUGCCUACACCUGGAAGAAUACUUAGGUCAAGAGUUAGACAUGAAGAAGAUGUUGUGCUUAGGCCAAGAGUUAUAUUAGAAGUAACUACAAGGCUUAGGAUGAGACAACAGGUACAAAUACCAGCUGAAAUAAGGUCAAUCAACUUCACAGGUGAUCAUAGUGGUGUUAGUGUACCAACAGAUCUGCCAUAUUCAACCCCAACAUUAUAGUGGAAGGGGAAGGAUGUUGUAACUGCAAAUCAGUUGGAAAAACAAGGGCAAGAAGGAAUUGGGAAUCUGAAAUCAAGGAGAAAAAAACUGAAGACAAAAGUAUAAUUUUUUUGUUGUAUGGGAUGUAUUUA
Molecule: non-coding RNA, 3096 nt
Organism: Nicotiana tabacum (common tobacco)
Lineage: Eukaryota; Viridiplantae; Streptophyta; Magnoliopsida; Solanales; Solanaceae
Source: RefSeq, a predicted model, not a curated record